Long non-coding RNA from Venturia canescens, 497 nucleotides. RefSeq lists it as uncharacterized. The record is from RefSeq and is a predicted model, not a curated record. The transcript has 2 exons. NCBI's taxonomy places the organism in Eukaryota, Metazoa, Arthropoda, Insecta, Hymenoptera, Ichneumonidae.
AAAAUGUCACGUUUCCACUGUAGUCAUUGUACAUGCUUUGGCACCGUUAAAUAUAUGGGACAUCGACGAUAGCAUCAUCGACACUGGUGAACUGGUUCUCACAUCGAAACUUCAUAAAAUUAUCGAAUAGCCUAAAUUGAAAGUUAGUUCGAGUUUUCUACAUACGUUAUUGACAACAUGUCAGGGCCAGUUGGAAGCGAGGUUGGAGAGCUUAUGCUUCUCGCCAAUUUGGCGGAAGUGGAAAGAAUUAAGGACAAGACACGCUUGAUUAUCGUAGUAGUCGAGACGAUCAUCGCGAUCAUCAUCACAGUGGUAGUGAUAGCGAUGAUGAAGAAAGACAAGAAUUUUAAGGAUUCGACUGGCGCAACGACGAGGGUGGUGAUGGUAAAGUCUUUUGUAUAACAGAAGAGGGCUCAUCAGGAAUGAUUUUUUAAAAAUACAACGCGGCAGUCCGUAUAAUUGUCGUUGAUUUAAUAAAAUAAUUACUCACAAGAGAA